Molecule: ribosomal RNA, 424 nt
Filed under: uncultured bacterium
Lineage: Bacteria
Description: bacterial SSU rRNA
Rfam family: Bacterial small subunit ribosomal RNA
Source: RNAcentral
UAAGGAAUAUUGGUCAAUGGAGGCAACUCUGAACCAGCCAUGCCGCGUGCAGGAAGACAGCCCUCUGGGUCGUAAACUGCUUUUAUUCGGGAAUAAACCUGCUUACGUGUAAGUAGCCGAAUGUACCGAAGGAAUAAGGAUCGGCUAACUCCGUGCCAGCAGCCGCGGUAAUACGGAGGAUCCAAGCGUUAUCCGGAUUUAUUGGGUUUAAAGGGUGCGUAGGCGGCUUUUUAAGUCAGGGGUGAAAGACGGUGACUCAACCAUCGCAGUGCCCUUGAUACUGAGGAGCUUGAAUGAACUAGAGGUAGGCGGAAUGUGACAAGUAGCGGUGAAAUGCAUAGAUAUGUCACAGAACACCGAUUGCGAAGGCAGCUUACUAUGGUUAAAUUGACGCUGAGGCACGAAAGCGUGGGGAUCAAACAGG